Molecule: long non-coding RNA, 393 nt
Organism: Haliotis rufescens (red abalone)
Lineage: Eukaryota; Metazoa; Mollusca; Gastropoda; Lepetellida; Haliotidae
Exons: 2
Source: RefSeq, a predicted model, not a curated record
AGGAGUGUUUAAUCCGGCUUAGAAACCGUUAAACGUUUAGAAUUACUGUAAAUUUAAUUGUCUCCCAUUUAGGGCACUAUAACGGGGAUUUACUACCUCGCUAUUGCCAGGAUAAGCGCAUAGAAAGAACUCGAACCGUGCACGUGGGAUACAUGCGGUAAGAACACGUGGUUGUCUUUCUCAGUUGAGUUCGAGAUGUCGAGCGAGGAGGAAGGCGGAGACCUAUUUCUGGAAGUAAGCGAGCAGCAGAUUUGCGAACAAACUGGGCACCGGAGUGGUGCUGUCCGCAUCUACAAACGCACCAGCGACGAUGUAAAGUCCAAGGCUGGAAGGUCUAUCCCAAAAAGGGUCUCUCUACUUUACAUUUAACUUUCAUUAAAGGAUGUUACUGGC